GCCUUCGUGGUGUAGUGGUCAGCACUCUCAGCGCGUAUUCGAGAGGUCCGUGGUUCGAGUCCCGGCGAGGGCA
Non-coding RNA from Stegodyphus mimosarum, 73 nucleotides. The record is from Rfam. NCBI's taxonomy places the organism in Eukaryota, Metazoa, Arthropoda, Arachnida, Araneae, Eresidae.